This 21-nucleotide non-coding RNA is filed under the name Caenorhabditis elegans. Lineage: Eukaryota; Metazoa; Nematoda; Chromadorea; Rhabditida; Rhabditidae. The record is from RNAcentral.
UGCCAAAAUUCCUGUAUCUGG